UUUUGUAGUCAUACGCUCGUCUCAAAGAUUAAGCCAUGCAUGUGUAAGUAUAACUAAUUGACUUUGAAACUGCGAAUGGCUCAUUAUAUCAGUUAUAGUUUAUUUGGUGAAGGAUACUAAUUGGAUAACCGUAGUAAUUCUAGGGCUAAUACAUGAGUAAAGUCCCGUUGGGAUGUGUUUAUUAGAAUGAAAACCAUAUGCUUCGGCAUGAUAGUGAGUAAUAGUAACCUAUCGUAUCGCAUGCUUAAUGUAGCGAUGAGUCUUUCAAGUUUCUGCCCUAUCAGCUUUCGAUGGUAGCAUAUGGGUCUACCAUGGCAGUAACGGGUAACGAAGAA
Molecule: ribosomal RNA, 335 nt
Filed under: Blastocystis sp. subtype 2
Lineage: Eukaryota; Bigyra; Opalinata; Blastocystidae
Description: SSU rRNA
Rfam family: Eukaryotic small subunit ribosomal RNA
Source: RNAcentral